CAGCCAUCGCCCCCGCCCCCGCCCCCGCCGCCUCCCAUCGAAGGGCGGAGCCGCUCCUCUCUGCGCUUCCGCCUCGUUUCUUCUCUGUAGAUAGAUGUGGAUUAGUGGCAUGUGAUUUGUUGUGAAACAUCUGAAUUGCCGAUGAUGCUGUGCCCAACAUUUGGAGGUGCAGAUGGCUCUAGGAUCCUGUUUACAGGAUGAACCUACCUGGAGGCGCUGUAUCCACAUGACAUUGAUGGGAAAGUCUGAAUUUCAGAUGAGACUUUUGUUGCUGUUCUCAAUUUGAGUUCUGCUAUUUUUGAACUGAAAACAAGUUGAGUUUAACUAUCCUCUCACAAAUAUCUCUGGUUUGCGGAAGAGGCUGAAAUCAGCUUUGUCUCUUGAUUCUAUGAGACGGGAGUUAAAUAAUGGCACGGGAUUUGCUCAUACAUUCCCUGCCUUAAUCAUCUUGGCAGCAGAACCUGCUGCAAGAUAUCUGAAGAAACAAACUCUGACGUUUGUCUGUUCAGAAUAUCAGUCUUAUUUGCCUUCAACAAAAUCUUAAACACUCAACGAUUUAUUUUAAUUUUACUUUGUAAUAUUUAGAUUUAGCAGCUCUAUCAUCAUUUGUGGUAAAGCUAAGUUGGAUCACAACAAUGAUAAAUGAUCCACCUAUGGUUAGCAUAUCUCCUAACAUGCUGAAUACAAGAACCUCUAUUGGGGUGCCUUCAGGCAUUGAUUUCUCCCAACACCCAGGAAAUCACCAAUAGAUCAUGAACUUGCGAUCUGUUUGUGCUUCAUCAUCUGGUCAUUGGGAUGAUCAGUCUCUUGAGUCUGAUCGGUUCCCACUGGACUCGUUCCCUUGAAGCAAAAGUAUCCUGUUGUAUCCUUGGUUCGCCCCUCUUGUGUGCCCUCUGAGUUUUUUCUCCCAGGGCAACAGCGGCUCUUACAUACAUGCACAUAUGCCCGUCAACAUACUUUCUUGGUAUUUUGAUUUUGACAACCGUGAUGAGCCAAUUUUACAGUUACAGACCUGUAAUGACUCCUGUGGAAAUGAUCGCAUGGUCAAAGAACAUCUAAGGGACUGAGUUGUCUUUGAAUUUUGGAUCUUUGCUGUCAGCAGUUUAGAUGUUGCUGCCUUAUUUUCUAUCUGCUUUUCUUCACUGUAUUUGUGCUUGUAUGUAAACUAAUCCAUAUGGUUCUUGGACAAUGAGAAAAUGUUGAGCAGAAAGCAAACGUUCCUCUCGCUAUCCAGUGUGGAAUUUCUUGUGAUGUGAUUGAACGUUGAGGAAUUAUAUUGAUAUCUCUUUUGAUGAAUUUGAUUGAACUUUGUAUUGUCUUCCAAUUUGAACAACUCUCAACAGAUAUAAAUUGGAACGACAAACAAAGCGUUUGACAAAAGCAGCCUAUCCAGAGAAUGGACUACAUGGUGGUGGUGGAGGAAGGUCCAGAGGAAAGAGGUGUGGUGAUAAUGGAGGGUGGGGUGGUUUACUUACCAACCCUCUGCACUGUUUCCCGUUGCUCUGUAGUCAAAUGGUCUAACCAAAAUUUCCUGUUUCAGAUGUUUUCUCAAAAAAAUUGAGCCUUGAUAUGUUUACAAAAGUUGGCUCUGCUGGCCUCUUCUCUUCUUUUUUCCCCUUGUGAAUUUAUUUAUCUUCCUGUGCAAAUCAAGGGUGGCAAAUGAUGUGAAAUAUGGUAUGCUAAACACUGAAUCUUUGAUAUGUUUACAAAACUCCGCUUAUUAUCUGAUGCCACCCAUCAGUUUCAACUUUCAACCCAGUUUUUGAAGAGGUUAGCUGCGUUGAUGCCAUCAUACCUGUGUUUCUGAUUAAUUCAUGAAGUACAAGGGGAAAUAUGGUUGAAUUUCUUAAUAUGAGCCAUAAGAAUGUUAAUUCUUAUUUUUGCGCUCUUUAGAUUUGUGUUUUCUGGUUUGAUAUGGUGGUGACGAAAAACACUUUCAGCAAACAUGCCAGUUCUGCUUCUGAGAAUUCAUGACUGACAAACCUGUUAUAUUGAUCUUGACCCAUUGCAAUUGAUAAAAGCUGUGUACGGAAAUAACUGGAACAUUCUAAUGGUGCAGUUGUUUUGGGAAGUUAUUUGAACCUAAUCAGAGAGAUGGUUUACAAAAACAAUUUUGAUGUGCACUAUCCCAGUGGUGAUAUCUAGAAAUUCAUGAUUAAUAUAGCUGUUAAACCUUUGUAUCUUGCAUGUGUUCUUGUUGAUCCUAAUUUUUUCUGAAAUGCCAGUGAUGCUAUGCCCAACAUCUGGAGGUGCAGAUGGCUCCAGGAUCCUGUGUACUAUCCCAGUGACGACUUAUUCUUUUUAAGUGAUAAAAUUAAGCCUCUGUGUAUCAAAUGAUGAGAGAAUACUGCAACAAUAUGAUCCAUGAUCUGAUUCUUAGUAUUUAAGUCUCUGAUGAUCACUUUGCCAAAAAAAAAUUCUCUCUUGUUCUUUUUUCUAAAAGUUGAUCCUCAUGGGGUGUGAUGAAGAAAAGUUGGUCCGUGUUUCUGAUGUCCUGUGACUGAUAACCAUCUUUAAUUUCCUUCUGAUCCCUCGUGCAAGUGCAUCUUUGUUCAUCCAUUUUUUUAUUGUCUUUUUAGAUGUUUUCUUGUAUUUGCCUAGUUUUGUGGCAUUGCGUUGAUGAACUGUGAAUUUUCGCAUGUCAGACUUCAGAGAUGCCUCUGGCGUCAAUGAGAAAAGUCAUUUCAUAUUACUGAGCAAUGAAAUACCAUCUGUAAUGUUUCAGGACUGCCUCACCCUUGUCCUUGUUCCUUGCAACCGUGAUUCUUAGUAUUUAAGUCUCUGAUGAUCACUUUGCCAAAGUUAUGUUUUUUUUGUCUCGUGUUUUCUUUCCAAAAGUGGAUCUUUUGUCGGAUGUGAUGAAAAGUUGGCCCGUGUUUCUGAUAAUACUAAGUCUUUGUGUAUCAAAUGAUGAGAGAAUACUGCAACAAUAUGAUCCAUGAUCUGAUUCUUAGUAUUUAAGUCUCUGAUGAUCACUUCGCCAAAUUUUCUUAUUUUCUCUAUUGUUUUUUGUUACGAAUAGUUUUUCUUCAUUGGGUGUGAUGAAGAAAAGUUGUUCUGUGUUUCUGAUGUCCAGUGACUGAUAACCAUCUUUAAUUUCCUUCUGAUUCCUCGUGCAAGUGCAUCUUCGUUCAUCCGUUUUUCUUGUAAUUGUCUUUUUAGAUGUUUUCUUGUAUUUGCCUAGUUUUGUUGCAUUGCAUUGAUGAAUUAUGAAUUUUCGCAUGUCAGACUUCAGAGAUGCCUUUGGUGUCAAUGAGAGUAAUUUCAUAUGACUGAGCAAUGAAAUACCAUUUGUAAUGUUUCGGGACUGCCUCACCCUUGCAACCAUGAUUCUUAGUACUCCCUCUGUUCCUAAAUAUAAGUCUUUUAAGGGAUUUCAAAAUGGACUACAUACGGAUGUAUAUAGACAUAUUUUGCCGUAUUUAGUCCAUAUUGGAAUCUCUAGAAAGACUUGUAUUUCGAACGGAGGGAGUAUUUAAGUCUCUGAUGAUUACUUUUGCCAAAUUUCUUUUUUCUCUCUCUUGUGUUUUGUGUGCAAAAGUAUAUCUUUGUGGGAUAUGAUGAAGAAAAGUUGGUCUGUGUUUCUGAUGUCCAGUGACUGAUAACCAUCUUUAAUUUCCUUCUGAUCCCUCUGCAAGUGCAUCUUCGUUCAUCCAUUUUUCUUGUAAUUGUCUUUUUAGAUGUUUUCUUGUAUUUGCCUAGUUUUGUGGCAUUGCUAUGAUUAAUUAUGAAUUUUCGCAUGUCAGACUUCAGAGAUGCCUCUGGCUUCAAUGAGAAGUCAUAUCAUAUGACUCAGCAAUUAAAUACCAUCUGUAAUGUUUUGUUACUGUGUCCUUGCUACUGUGGUUGCUUUUGCAAUUUGUAUUGAUGGAAGGACUUUCAUACGCCCUGCAAUAAAGUAGAGUUUGCACAAUUGACGAAAAUAACAAAAAAUUGAUGUACAUAUUAUUGUUUCACAUAUAUGAAGCUACAUGUAGCACUGCUCCUCAGAAAAUUUUUGGUUGUGAGGUCCCUUUCCCAAAUUAUGGACUAUAUGAUUAUACUGUGUGCAACUGUAAUUUUUGUUUAGAGGAUUCAAAUCCAAAAGUAUGAUCCACCUUGCUUUGUUUCAUUCUAUUUAAUAUUCCUUUUUGGAUUUUCAUUUCUUAGAAGUUGAAUGGGGAUCCUUUCCCCCAAAUUCGACUACUGGGCGCCCAUGUAAUACACCAGAGGGUUCCAAGGCAUUUGAAUUAUAGGGUUACAUUUACUCUGAAUUUUGGGUGCUUCGUCAUCUGGUCUCAACUUGUGAUUUGUUUGUGCUUCGUCAUCUGGUCAUUGGGAUGAUCAGUCUCUUGAGUCUGAUCGGUUCCCAAUGGACUCGUUCCCUUGAAGCAACAUCACCCUGUUGUAUCCUGAGUUCGCCCCUCUUGUGUGCCCUCCGAGUUCUCUCCCCGGGCACUGGCGGCUUUUACAUACAUGUACAUGUCACACACACAAAAUCCCUGUUGAUACUCUCUUGGCGUUUUGAUUGUGACAACCGUGAUGAGCCCAUUUUACAGUUACAGACCUGUAAUGACUCCUGCGGAAAUGAUCGCAUGGUCAAAGAACAUCUAAGGGGCUGAGUUGUCUUUUUAUGUUGAAUCUUUGCUGCCAGUGGUCGGACCCCCCGGACCCUGCAAGCGGGAGCUACAUGCACCAGGCAUCUUUCCUGCCAGUAGUUUAGAUAUUGCUGUGUUUGUUUUGAUUGCUUCUCUUAACAAUUUUUGUGCCUGUAAACUAAUCUCCGUAUUUUCUGGUUUGAUAUGGUGGUGGUGAUAAACAUUUUCAGCAAACAUGCCAGUUCUGCUUCUGAGAAUUCAUGACUGAAAAACCUGUUAUAUUGAUCUGAGCCAUUGCAAUUGACAAAAGCUGUGUCUUCCCAGCGGUGAUACCUGGAAAAUCAUGAUUAAUGUUUCUGUUAAACCUGUGUAUCUUCCAUGUGUUCUUGAUCUAAAUUAGGAGCUUGUAAUUUGUUCUUAAAAUUGUCUGAAAUCCCGAUGAUGUUAUGCCCAACAUUUAGAGGUGCAUAUGGCUCCAGGAUCCUGUUUACAGGAUGAACCUACCUGGAGGUGCUGUAUCCACAUGACAUCCACCGGCAAGUCUGAGGUUCUUGAUGAUCACAUCGAACUUUUCUUGCGGUUUUCAAGUUGACCUCUGUUUUUUUAACUGAUAAAACUAACAUCAUUGCUGAGUUUAACUAUCCUCUCACAAGUUUGUCUGAUUUGCUGAGUCUAUAUGCCUAGUAUCUCUGAUGUAGUUUCUUGUAAUUGUCUUCUUAGAUGUUUUCUCAUAUUGACUUGUUUUGUGCCAUUGCGGUGAUGUAGCUUCUUGUAAAAUGUAAAUGUAGAUGUGAUUGCGUUUAGCUAUCUCUGAGGCUGAGUUAAAACAUAUUUAAUUUUUGGUUUAAUCAAUGAGAGAUAGAUGAUGAAUGAGAUUAAUUUCCCUAUUGGUUUGAUUGGCCGAUAUGAUGGCCUCAAUACUGAACCAAAUCUGACCUCACUCUUUUUGACAUUUUACUUGACUUUGUUCUUCGUACAGUAUUACUCCCUCUGUAAACUAAUAUAAGAGUGUUUAGGUCACUACUUUAGUAUUCUAAACACUCUUAUAUUAGUUUACGGAGGGAGUAUAAUUUAUUCAAUAGAUUAGUUUCUAAUUUAAUAGGCAUAUAUCAGAUUAUGAGAUUAUUAUCUAAAACCCUGAGCUGUGUUGCAAGAGCUGUCAUUCUUUGCCCAUCUGUCAUUCUUCGGUGAGCAUUGUUGAUGCAAAUGAUGAGACAGAAGUUUUAUGGGUAAUUUGCGUCUGAGGCAUCUCUGUGAUAUUACACUCUUUUCACCUUGGAGAUCUGAUGCAUCCUGUAUAAUAUUCUCACCCUUUGUUUUUCCCUAAUUUGAUUCUCGUGGGUGAAAUGAGGAUUAAAUAAUUUUAUUGAUGGACGGUAUGAUGUCCAUUGAAUCAUGUAUUAGCUCUAUCUGAUCAUUCUCUACUGAGUUUUGUUCUUUCAAUUUUAAGAAUUUCUUCUUUGUUGUUUGAACGCCUGUUGUUGAUGCAAAUGUGGAAACACGAGUUUAUGGGUAAUUUGUGUCUGAGGCAUUUCUUUGAUGUCACUCUUUCACCUUGGAGAUCUGAUGCAUCCUGCCUCCCUUUUGCGUUCAAAAUAAUAUUUGUUUUUUGUUUUAAUGAGAUGAGAUGAUGAAUGAGAUUAAUUUCCCUAUUGGUUUGAUCGGCUGAUAUGAUGGCCUAAAGUACUGAACCGAAUCUGAUCAUCUUCUUGCUUCCUAGAAAAAAUCGAGCAGUUUGCGAAGUCACUUGCCUUCAAAAUGAAACGAAAGGGACAGUCUACCUCUCCCUUCCCUUUAAAAAAAGUUUGCCCGUUGUUUGACUCACUUAAUACUCAAUUUUUGGAGCUCUGUUGCCUUGCCUUGUCAUAUUUGCGGUUGUUUGUUCUAUGUAGAGUAAUAUCAUCUAUUAAUUUUCUAAUUCAAUCUGUGGAAGUGAGAUGAUGAAUGAUUAAUUUCUUGAUUGACCCGCAUGAUGGCCUAAAUACUGAACCGAGUCUGAUCAUCAUCUCUUUCUUUUCUUGAUGUUCUUUUGAAAUCUUGUUUUAUCAAGUUGUUUGCUGUUUCUGGGAGGAGUAUUAUUGAUGCGAAUGAUGGACACAAGUUUUAUGGGUAAUUUGCGUCUGAGGCAUUUCUGUGAUGUCACACCCUUUUCACCUUGGAGAUCUGAUGCAUCAAGCUCACUUACGCUGUGUUCUUCCUUUGUGUUUCCUUUAUAUGUCUAGAUCGAUCUUGGGUUAUGCUUGCCCCCAAAUUCCAGUUUAUCCUAUGUGCUUCUGUAAUUUGUGAUGCCCUUUUAUCUAGUUUAAUUCAAGUUCUUGUGGUACUGAUUUAAGUUGAACCUUUGCUGGUGCAGUGAUUAUAAAACAUUCCUCAUACUGAUGGGAGGUCCCUGUGAACGACUCCUAUACACCCAUAGAAUCAGAGCACCAACAAUAUGGUUUCAUUAGAUUCUUCCUUUUUGUGGUUAUUCGUCCUGAGAUUGUUUUGUGCUUGUACUCCAAACUAAUGUUUAUAAGAAUUCUGUCAUAUAUCACCACCAUACUCUGAUUCCAUAGUCUUUUUGUUUGUCUGUGCCGAGGAUUAAACUAAUUUAUAGACAAGCAUAUGUCUGAAUUCUUGUCAUGUGGAGCGAUCUAAUCUUCUCUAUGAGGCCAAUCUUAUUCAUUUUUUUAUCUGCAGUUUUAUUUGAUGUGUUCUGAUGUUGUGUGAUGCUGCUAAUGAUUAGCGUGAACUUUUCUCAAUGAAAUCACUAAUGAUUACAUAACCUACUGACUUCCUUCUUAGGCAUCAUGAAUCCUGGAAUUCUUCUGUGUUUUUUUCUGUUAAUUCGUUUUGGUUUUCCUGUUGAUUCAGUGGUUUGCCCAGGUCGAAUGAUGAUCACAAGUGCAUAGUUCAUAUGAUCAAAUCGUGAUUACUUGAACAGAAAAUAGUCUUUCGCUCCUAUCUGAUGACCUUUCAUCCUCACCCUUUUCAGGAGAAUCAAACAAUAGUUUUUUCGUCUUUUUUGCAUUUACAUGUAGAACCCUACAUUAUUAUGGUGUAGAUGUAUAGAUUCCUUAGAGGACAGUGAAGAUUGAUAUUUGGUCUCGUUCGUUGUAAAUGGCAUUUACUUGCCUUGCCGACCAUCCUGCUAUAUCACCACCCAUAUUCUGAGUACUAUCUUGGGUUUUCAUGUUAAAUUUUUUUGUAUUUAGCUUAUGAUGAUUAAACUAAACUAAAUAGAGAAGCAAUUUUAUCUGCUUAUUAAAUAUGUUGAAUUUUUGUACAAUAAAUAUGAUCUUCCAGAUGUGAUUAACAGUUGCCACGUUUUCAAUGAGUUCCUAUUUGUUUGCUUUUGAGAUAUCUUCUCUUGUUGUUGUGAUCUGUUCACUAAUUUUCUAAAUUAUCUUUUUGGGAUUAGUUUCUUCAUAUCACUUUAAACUUUGAUUACGAAUGCACAACAGAUACUUUGAUGCUUGCAAUGAUUUUCCAAACCAGUUUGAGGAUGAUGAUUUCAUAUUUGUCGCUCCAGUCUUAGGGUCUGCAUUGCUGGAUCUGUGCUGAUUGACAUACUUCUGAAUCUGACUUGUAGAUGGUGAUAUCAUAUAUGCGCUCUGUUAGUCAUCUUCUCUAGUUGGUUGAUUUUUCUUUGCAGACUUGGUUCUUUUUCUUUGGUGAUGGCAGUGACGAUUUGCAAAUAUUCAAGCUCAACAGACCUAAUCACAGAUUUUCUCUCCGGAGUUGAUUGUUAUGCCGAUUACCCCGCUGAACCGAGCCAUCUGAUACCUGAUUUUGUUUUUCUGUGGUUCAUUGUUCUUUUAUCUCAAUGUAUCUUUUGUGUUUGAUUUUCUUUUUUUCUUUUGGGGGAUGUAGUUGCGAUGAGGAUAAUAAGCUCCCUCUUCUGAAAGCAUUGACGACAACUCUGUAUCUUCGAACAAUCUCUCUUGGCUGUUAUUGAUCAUUUGCUUCUUCUUACCUUCCAGUCUACAGUAUCUGUUUGCAUUGUUAGGAGUUAUUGAUGCAUAGUUCUAAUCUUUGUACUCCCUCCGGCCGGGUUUAUUAGGCCCCCUUUCAUUUUGAGCCAAAGUUUGACCAUGAAUUUUAACUAAUAAAAUAUAAAAUACAUGUCACAAAAAGUAUACCAUAUGAAACCUCUUUCAAAUACAAAUUCAAUAAUAUACUUUUUGUAGCAUAAACUUUAUAUAUUUUUAGUUAAAUACAUGGUCAAAGUUGAACCCAAAAUGAAAGGGGGCCUAAUAAACCCGGGCGGAGGUAGUAGUUGUCAGUGGAUGAAACCUUGAAUCUUGGCAUCUGAACCCAUCAGCUUUUUGUUUAUUUCGUUAAGUGUCCGUGGAUGAAACCUUGAAUACAAUCUUUGGACACUUUCUGCCACAGUGCUUAUUUCUCCUGUGAAAGCAUUUACAUUCUGAUUAUAGACCUUUAAUUUUUUAACCACAACAACCGUUGGCCAAUCUUGUCUUCCAAAUUGGAUACAGAAUGCAAUUACCAUUAUAUCCAGAUGAUGAUAUUUUUGCUGCUUUCUGAGGUUUAAAACAGCUCAGGUCUUUUGCUUUUCUAUGUUGUAAACAGCAGCCACUAAUCGUUACUGAUAGUGUCCUCCUCUGGGUUUGCUCUUUACUGGAAUCUCUGUUUGCAUCUGGUUUGAUUCAGGUUAUUGUGUUAUUUAAGUUGGUCCCUGAGGGGAUUCCUUUUGACCUUUGAUUGAUCGGUUGAUGUCUUUGUUUCAUGCUUAUUAUGCAAUAUGAUUUCAUCAACUGGGGAAAUGAUAUGGCACUGAUGAUAAAUUUAAGGCUUGUUUCUCAAAACAUUCGCAAUUGCCGCCUAAGAGCUUUCGCCCAGCCAGGCUUGAGAGCUAAUGCUGCUAAUUCCUUCCUUGGAUGUCUGAGCCUUGUUAACAUCCCCAUUGUUAUCAUUGUUUCUAUUUUGGUUUGUUGUCUAAAUUCCUUGUUUUUUUGCAUUGCGCAAAUGUUGACAGUUGCUGCCAAAAGUUUUUGCCCUACCAUAUUUGAGAGCUAAUAUUGCUAGAUCCUUCCUUUGAAUCUCUUAAGGCCCUUAAGCCUUCAAUGUUGAAAUUUUCUUAAAAACAUUGAUACUUGGUGCUCUGAUUUUGACAACUGUGAUGAGCCAAUUUUACAGUUACAGACCUGUAAUGACUCCUGCGGAAAUGAUCGCAUGGUCAAAGAACAUCUAAGGGACUGAGUUGUCUUUGUAUUUUGGAUCUUUGCUGUCUUGCUUCUAUUAAUGGUAUUCAAGCCUGUAAACUAAUAUCUAUGGUUCCCGGGCAAUGAGAAGAUAGUAAGCAGAAAGCAACCGCAGUCCAGCGCAGAACUUCUGACGUGAAUAGAUGAAGGAACUGUAUUGCUUUCUCUUUUGAUGAAUUUGACUGAAUCAUAACAACAAACAUGCAGUACGAUGGGAUGGGAUGUUAAAAGCAUGUAAAUGUCAAACUAUGGCUUAGCUUCUAUUUCUCAUUCCAAGUUGUUAUAACUGACAAACGAACCGCCGUUCUGGAAGUGCCCUGGCCUUAUUUGAACAAUUCAAACCACAACUCUGGAGAAGCGCAACAAGGAUAUGGAAGUUUGAUUUAUGAAACCAGGAAACCACGCCUCUUUACAAGAAGGUAGGUUCGGAAAAAUAGAGCCAGUCCUUGUAGUCUAAGCAUGGAUCGACCGUGGUGGCAGAGAAGGAAGGUCCCGAGGCUGAUGGUGUGGUGAUAGUAGAGGGAGGAGUGAUCCUUGUAUCUCCAGUUUUUUGCUCGACUGAGGUCUGACGGGGACGCUCAAUGAAAAAUUCCAUGUCUCCUUUUUUUUCCCUUGUGAAUUCAUUAAUCUUGCUGUGCAAAGGUGUCAAAUGAUGUAAAAUAUGAAGUAGCUGGUUCCCUUUGAAGUUUGGUAUGUUUACAGAACUCUGCUUAUAAUCUGAACGAAGUGCUUAUCUGCGCAACCGUUGUACAA
Long non-coding RNA from Triticum aestivum (bread wheat), 10531 nucleotides. RefSeq lists it as uncharacterized. Lineage: Eukaryota; Viridiplantae; Streptophyta; Magnoliopsida; Poales; Poaceae. The record is from RefSeq and is a predicted model, not a curated record. The transcript has 2 exons.